Molecule: microRNA precursor, 106 nt
Filed under: Marmota monax (woodchuck)
Lineage: Eukaryota; Metazoa; Chordata; Mammalia; Rodentia; Sciuridae
Source: RNAcentral
AUUUGUAUCAAUUGAAGACCUUGUUAAAGUACACAUUCUAAUUCAAUAGAAUAUUUUGAUUAGGGCCUGAGAGUCUGCAUCUCUAAUAAGCUUCAGGUAUACAAAU